RNAcentral lists this ribosomal RNA (247 nucleotides) under Bacillus wiedmannii. RNAcentral describes it as "partial 16S ribosomal RNA". It matches the Rfam family "Bacterial small subunit ribosomal RNA", at positions 73 to 311 of the family's 1533-position model. The record is from RNAcentral. Lineage: Bacteria; Bacillati; Bacillota; Bacilli; Caryophanales; Bacillaceae.
UAAGAGCUUGCUCUUAUGAAGUUAGCGGCGGACGGGUGAGUAACACGUGGGUAACCUGCCCAUAAGACUGGGAUAACUCCGGGAAACCGGGGCUAAUACCGGAUAACAUUUUGAACUGCAUGGUUCGAAAUUGAAAGGCGGCUUCGGCUGUCACUUAUGGAUGGACCCGCGUCGCAUUAGCUAGUUGGUGAGGUAACGGCUCACCAAGGCAACGAUGCGUAGCCGACCUGAGAGGGUGAUCGGCCAC